UACGAGGGGGGCAAGCGUUGUUCGGAAUUAUUGGGCGUAAAGGGCGCGUAGGCGGUGUCGCAAGUCCGUGGUGAAAUCUCUAGGCUCAACUUAGAGACUGCCGCGGAAACUGCGGUGCUUGAGUGUGGGAGAGGUGCGUGGAAUUCCCGGUGUAGCGGUGAAAUGCGCAGAUAUCGGGAAGAACACCCGUGGCUAAGGCGGCUCUCUAGUACGGUACUGACGCUGAGACGCGAAAGCGUGGGGAGCGAACAGG
This 253-nucleotide ribosomal RNA is filed under the name uncultured bacterium. Its description in RNAcentral is "partial 16S ribosomal RNA". It matches the Rfam family "Bacterial small subunit ribosomal RNA", at positions 524 to 776 of the family's 1533-position model. The record is from RNAcentral.